UCCGGAUUGCAUCUCUGCCGGACGUGAAGGCUUUCGGCUGAUACUGAAACAUGUGAUUUCACUGUCAGCAAUUCAUCGGCAGACGGCAUGAGUAACUGUCGCCAUAUCGAAACUAUGGCUGGGGAUAACCGUCGGGAAACUUAGGAUAAACCCUGGGCGAUCAUAAUUCCUCGAUACGAUAUUAUGGUGCAAAAGAGUCGUCUUUCGUGUGAUGGAAUUGCGGCGUGUCAGAUUAUGGGUGUGGUAAAGGCCCGGUCCGCCAAUUACAGUAACGGACUGGGCGAGGAGAAGCGGGGCCUGGGUACUGAGACGCGGACCCAGGCCCUAUGUUCGCAGCAGAAGAGAGAGCUUUGCAAUGUGAGCAAGCAAGACUAGGUUAAGCCGAGUGUAUCCUGCUAAAGGCAUCUGUUGUAGGUGAGUAAUGCACCAGCGUAUAAAGGGGGGGCAAAGUCUGGUGUCAGCCGCCGCGGUAAAACCAGCUCUUCAAGUGGUCGGGAGGAUUAUUGGGCUUAAAGCGUCCGUAGCCGGCUUAGUAAGUUUCCGGUAAAAUCGGGUAGCUUAACUAUUGGGCCGCUAGAAAUACUGCAGAGCUUGUCAGUGGGAGAGGUCUGAGGUACUACUGUAGGAAGCGGUGAUAUCUUAUAAUCCUUGUAGGACCCCAGUGGCGAAGGCGUCAGACCAGACCAGAUUCUAUCGGAAGCAGAAACCAGGGGAGCGAACCGGAUUAGAUACCCGGGUAGUCCCAGCCGUAAUCGAUGCAGACUCGGUGAUGUCAGGUUCCUGAGCCUGUUCAGUGCCGUAGGGAAACCGUUAAGUGUGCCGCCUGGCAAGUACGGACGCAAGUUUAAAACUUAAAGGAAUUGGCGGGGGAGCACCACAAGGGGUGAAGCCUGCGGUUCAAUUGGAGUUCACCCCGGAAAUCU
Molecule: ribosomal RNA, 923 nt
Filed under: uncultured archaeon
Lineage: Archaea
Description: partial 16S ribosomal RNA
Rfam family: Archaeal small subunit ribosomal RNA
Source: RNAcentral